ACCAGCAUGGCAUAGUGGUUAGAGUGUUGGACUAUGACUCCGGAGACCAGGGUUCAAAUCUCUGUAGAGUCA
RNAcentral lists this transfer RNA (72 nucleotides) under Phrynosoma platyrhinos (Desert horned lizard). Its description in RNAcentral is "tRNA-OTHER". The stretch from base 7 to 65 matches the Rfam family "tRNA", at positions 7 to 64 of the family's 71-position model. From Rfam's summary of the family: Transfer RNA (tRNA) molecules are approximately 80 nucleotides in length. Their secondary structure includes four short double-helical elements and three loops (D, anti-codon, and T loops). Further hydrogen bonds mediate the characteristic L-shaped molecular structure. tRNAs have two regions of fundamental functional importance: the anti-codon, which is responsible for specific mRNA codon recognition, and the 3' end, to which the tRNAs corresponding amino acid is attached (by aminoacyl-tRNA synthetases). tRNAs cope with the degeneracy of the genetic code in two manners: having more than one tRNA (with a specific anti-codon) for a particular amino acid; and 'wobble' base-pairing, i.e. permitting non-standard base-pairing at the 3rd anti-codon position. The record is from RNAcentral. Lineage: Eukaryota; Metazoa; Chordata; Lepidosauria; Squamata; Phrynosomatidae.